This 559-nucleotide ribosomal RNA is filed under the name uncultured Pseudomonadota bacterium. RNAcentral describes it as "bacterial SSU rRNA". It matches the Rfam family "Bacterial small subunit ribosomal RNA", at positions 338 to 916 of the family's 1533-position model. The record is from RNAcentral. Lineage: Bacteria; Pseudomonadati; Pseudomonadota.
CCUACGGGAGGCAGCAGUGGGGAAUAUUGGACAAUGGGCGCAAGCCUGAUCCAGCAAUACCGCGUGAGUGAUGAAGGUCUUCGGAUCGUAAAGCUCUUUUAGUGGAGAAGAUAAUGACGGUAUCCACAGAAAAAGCACCGGCAAACUUCGUGCCAGCAGCCGCGGUAAUACGAAGGGUGCUAGCGUUGUUCGGGAUCAUUGGGCGUAAAGCGUGCGUAGGCGGCUUAGUAAGUCGUUUGUGAAAUCCCAAGGCUUAACCUUGGAAUUGCAAUCGAAACUGCUUUGCUAGAGUAUGGUGGGGGAUAGUGGAAUUCCUAGUGUAGGGGUGAAAUCCGUAGAGAUUAGGAGGAACAUCAGUGGCGAAAGCGACUAUCUACGCCAAUACUGACGCUGAGGUACGAAAGCGUGGGGAGCAAACAGGAUUAGAUACCCUGGUAGUCCACGCAGUAAACGAUGAGUGCUAGUUAUCGGGACAUUAGGUUUCGGUGGCGUAGCUAACGCGUUAAGCACUCCGCCUGGGGACUACGGUCGCAAGACUAAAACUCAAAGGAAUUGACGG